This 253-nucleotide ribosomal RNA is filed under the name uncultured bacterium. RNAcentral's name for it is "partial 16S ribosomal RNA". It matches the Rfam family "Bacterial small subunit ribosomal RNA", at positions 524 to 776 of the family's 1533-position model. The record is from RNAcentral.
UACAGAGGGUGCAAGCGUUAAUCGGAAUCACUGGGCGUAAAGGGCGCGUAGGUGGCCCGUUAAGUUUCAUGUGAAAGUCCUGGGCUCAACCUGGGGAUGGCAUGGGAAACUGAUGGGCUAGAGUCAAAGAGAGGGGAGUGGAAUUUCCGGUGUAGCGGUGAAAUGCGUAGAUAUCGGAAGGAACACCAGUGGCGAAGGCGGCUCCCUGGCUUUAGACUGACACUGAGGCGCGAAAGCGUGGGUAGCGAACAGG